RNAcentral lists this ribosomal RNA (2515 nucleotides) under Lacticaseibacillus paracasei. RNAcentral's name for it is "Lactobacillus paracasei 23S ribosomal RNA". The record is from RNAcentral. Lineage: Bacteria; Bacillati; Bacillota; Bacilli; Lactobacillales; Lactobacillaceae.
CCGUUUUUCGGCGGGCAAUGGCAGCUCAUGAUUUAAAGGAUGUGCCUCUUCUUGCGCGUGUGCAUGCCGCAGCACGACUUUUGCAUUCAGAUAAACCUUGUCAUCAAUGAGCUGCGCUUUGUGCAGCCGAUCUAAUUCAAGUGCAGCCAGUUCGAUAUCCCACUCACGCUUGCCAACAUGAAUGAACGUACCAAACCCCUUUAAUAAUUGCAGAACAUCAUAGUAAGUUUUCAUACUAGCCUGCGUUAAAUCCUAAGAAAAGCAACGCGCCCAGUCCGAAGAGCAAGGUGACAGCUGAAGCAAUCCGCCGCGGUGUCCCCAUGCGACCAAGUGCCGGAGCACCCAACAUGCCUGCUGCAAGAAAGCCACCAAGCAAACCGCCAAUGUGACCAAAAAUGUCAAUGCCGCUGGAAAACAGAUUAAACAGUAAGUUCAAGCCAACCAACAGUAAGAAUUGGCGCGCCAACUGACGAAUCACUGGAUUUUCUUUGAAGCUGUCGCCGAGCAUCAAGCAGGCACCGAGCAAACCGAAAAUUGCUGUACUGGCACCUGCCGCAAGUGUGUUAGGACUAAAGGCAAAACUCGCGACAUUACCGGCAAAACCCGAAAUAAAGUACAACAGAAAGAAUCGCCAAUGGCCAAAUAGUUGUUCCGUCAUUUGUCCCAAAUAAUACAAUGAGAAACCGUUAACCAGAAUGUGCAUUAAGCCGAUGUGGACAAAUACUGGUGUCAUCAAUCGCCACCACUGACCAUACAAAAUCAAAGGAUUCAGCCGCGCGCCGUAGAAAACCAACACGCUAUUAUUGGUACUGCCACCAGAGAAAGUCUCCAAAAGGAAGACCAAAAUGGUAACCACUAAAAUAGCAUUGGUCACAUAAGCUGAAUUUUGCAGCCGAGAGCGCCAGUUUGAAUAAUUCAUAGUUUCCUUUCUAACCCAUCUGCCAAGCAGACAGGAACUGCUUGCCGUAUGCCGAGCCUGCCGCACCAAUCCGCUAAAAAAACAACAGGUCCGCCUGUUGUUUUUCGCACCGUCAGAAGCGUUGGCCAAACACUUGGCGGCCAUGUUCUUGUAGUAGUUUAGCAUUUUUUGCACACGCUGCCAACACGAUCAGCCGUUAACUGUCUUCUGAUGAAUCGAAUAAUCCUUAUCUUCUUUGAUGUUGUUCAUCUGAUAGAAGUCAGUAAACAUUUCUUUGGCAAUCUGCAGUUGAUAAGGCUUGGUGGUUUCAGCCUUCAGAUUCGGGAUAAUCACUGCAAUCGCAAUCUUUGGAUCCUUCGCUGGUGCAUACCCAACGAAACUUUCCGUGAUGGUUUCAGUGAGCGCUGAAUCUUUGGACUCACGAGCAAACCCUUGAGCAGUCCCGGUUUUCCCGGCAACGCCCGGAUUCAAGGUAUUCAGCGAAGUCGCUGUAGUCCAACCGUUUGUGCCAUGCACAACCUGCCACAUUCCUUGCUUAACUAGGUUAAUCUGAUCUUGCGUAUUGUCGAUUUUUGAAGUAACGGAAGGCUGAGUUGAGGUUAACACCGGACCGCUACUGCCAUCGCUCAGUGUUUGGCUAAUACUGUUCACUAAGAAUGGUUUCAUCCGAUAACCGUUGUUGGCAAUGGCGCUGAUAUACUGCAGCAUCUGAAUAAGUGUGUAGUUAUCAUAGUUCCCGUAAGACAAAUCCAACGCCGAACCGACAAGCAAAUUGCCUGAUGAAUCAUGCGUAUUGCCUUCUAACCCUGCAAUCUCACCGGGCAAGUCAAUCCCGGUUUUGAGACCUAAUCCGAAUUGGUUAAAGUAGCCGCGCAUUUUGCUAAAAAUAUCCGAAUUCAAUUUCAGAUAAUUAUUUGGCGAGUAUGCAUAGUGGCCUUCUUUCAUGGCCAGCCACAUCAUGUAAAUGUUACUGGAAACUUCCAGUGCAGAGGCUGCAUCCAAUGAACUGAAGGUACCGACCGGGUAAACAGAUUUCUUGACUGGUGUACCAGGCAAGUAAAUCGGUGUAUCAGCUUGAGUAUUAGAAUUGACGGUAAUCACGCCGUCUUGCAAGGCGCCUAGCACCGUGGCACCCUUAACCGCUGACCCAACAACAAAUGCGCGGUUGAUAACGCCAAGUGCAUCAUCUUCAACCUUAUGUGUCUGAACAUCCUGAUGCUGACCCGCCAUGGCGAGGAUACGACCCGUAUUUGGAUCCAUCGCAACCGCGUAAGCACCAUCUGACAAGCCACCCGCACCAGCAGAUCGAAUCGAACUGAAGGUGUCACUCAAAGACUUUUCGACUUUCUUCUGAUAAUCCGAAUCGAUCGUCAGAUUCAAAUUGGCGCCUUGUUGCCCUUUGAACUUGGAAACAGAUUGAAUAAUCUGGUUGUUAUUCCCGAUUUCAACCUGCGUUUGACUCUUGGAACCCUUCAGAACAUUUUCAUAUGCUUUUUCAAGGUAACUGGUGCCGACCCGGUCAUUCCGAGCAUAGCCAUUUGCCAAGUAUGCUUGUAGUUGGUCAGCUGGUAACCCUGACUUUUCGUUGGAAACUUG